UCCCCCCUCCACCCAACCAUCUGCUCAUUACGGCCACAGAAAAGCCACCGACGUGGGGAAAUAAUCAGCUGUGCUCAUGAAUCAAUAUGAGGGGCUUUUUUUUGCCUCAGUACAUACGACAUUGUGUAUUUCCUCGCUGACAAUCAAACAUGCGCACAAAGGUAACCCAAGAAAUGUUCCUGCCUCUCUUGUGAAACUGGGAAAUUGCUUCUUUUCCUCGACAUAUUUCAACCUGCUCUAAAUUCUUUUCCUCUCGUUCUGUCGCUCACAAUUUAUUCAGUUUAGAAAGGCGAUACAAAAAAUGAAUGUAGAAACUAUUUAUUGAUUUAAAAAUUGUCCAAAGAAGUCCAGCAUUAUAACGCCCCUCAUAUCUUUUAUUAUUCAUUUUUUCUCUCCUAAUGCUGCACAUCUUAAGGAAAGGAGGCUGAUAUAUUUCUUCCUUUGCUUCUCAGUCUGCUUGCUGCUCCACGUUAGUUUAGUUCUCCAUUUCAAUUUUUCUCACAUAGUUUCCCCCCCCCCACCCCCCAAAACGAGCUCGCUGUUGGUAACCUGUAAACAGAAAUACAGCAAUAGAAUUCCUCAACCUUCAAACCCGGCUGCUGUACUCGCAUCCAGCACUCUGCAGAUAUAUGCACCGUAUCCGUGUGGCACAUUCCUCUCUGCUGCAAACACGAGCCUCCUUCUCCGUCUCCUCCGCGGAGUGCAAAGGCAAAACUAAAUUAAUAUGCACCUAUGCGUAAGCAUGCUUAGGCAAUAAGGCACAUUCUGAUUCCGAUUCCUUGCCUCUAGCUGCAUUCCGUCUGGGAUACUCACCUUUUUUUUCUUUUCUUCUCGUGUUCAUCAAAUAUCUGCAUCCGUUGUUCUGCUGGAAGCGGCCCUCUCCUCCAUCAAUCACGUGUUUCGGUGCAACCUCACGACUUUCUUUAUCUCUUUGUGCCCACGGGCGCCUCUCGUGAAAUACAUCAACCUGCACGUUUAGGAAUAACGACCCCGGGAUUUUUUCAUCUAAAGCCGUUAGACGAACGUCAUUCUCGCCACGACGCCAAAGCAGCGAGCGCGUCGGCAGAGGGGCUGAUGACAGCGAACGGCAACUUACGAGACGUGCUGUUUGGCUGCCAGAGUCCACGUAGAGCCGGAGAUCACCGGGGAAGCUUUAUUCAUCAUUCAUCCCGCUCAUCCACGUUUAAUCUCCUGGCUGCCAUUGUUUGGGAAAUCAGCUGUUCGCAUCAGCUAGCGACAGCCUUCGUUCCCGCUGCUGUCUCCUUCUCCACGAUGCGUUCAUGUAUCACACGCUGUCACGCGCGCCCUUUGACCCCCCCCGUCACCGUCCACUUUCACCACAUCUAGCAUCUCGCUGCUGUUUUGAGGCGCUUCACCCGAUUUAAGAUCUACUCUAGCAAACAGGAGCCAACACACAUCCGGUUGAAGUGCAUUUUGUAUUUCGUUAUUAUGCUGUAAUAUUUUAAAUUCAACAUGUAUGUUUGUCUGGGCUUUUGGGUUGUCGAAAAAUGCAUUGAUUGCUCUCUUUCUUUUUGUCUUUAACCAAAACGUACAACGUUUCGCUGGCAGAAGGUCUCAUUUCGCCUUGCGGUGAAACACGUGCACACAUUGACCUUAAUUGUGGUGCAGCGGGAUUGAAAAAGACUUUUCUGUUUCGUCUCUAAAUGUUCUUUUGCAUUCCUUGCUGAUUGACAUUUUGAAUCCCGUAACACGUGUUUCUUGGUGACAACAAAAAUAAGGGACAAAAGCACGAAAGCUUAUUGGUGGUGCUUGCUGAAAAUCCAUUAUGACCCAUGCUUCUGGGGGGGGUCUGUGUCAAAUUCUCAAGUGGCUCCAGUCUUUCCGAGCACCGCAGGAGCACUUUCUGUCCACGCACUUAAUUAAUUAACACUUUUGUCCCCUUAGUAGUCCAUGCUCAAAUUAUCAAUUUUGAAUGUGUGCUCUCCCAUCAACAACCUUGAUUAUCAAAGCGAUCAUGAAACCAAAAAGAAGAUUCUCUGAUUAAUAAUGAAUGCCGAGGGAGACAGAGGGGGGGGGGACGACUUCUCCCCAACUGUGCCACACACUGCAGAUAACACUCUAAAUGGAGACAUUUGAGCAUUUUGUUCGUGCACGAGGUUUAUUUGAGUGAAAACAUUGGAAUUGUGCGCAGCGUUUUAAUUUUGAUGAAGGACUUUACAGAAUUCUCCUCAUAUUUCCAUCAUUGUGGGUAAAGAAAAUAGAGAAAGGACACCCUGUUCGUAAGACGGCAAACACAUAAAUCCUGCAAUACUUUAAGGUCGUUAGUUAUUUUUUUUAGAAAGGAUCUAAAUUGCCCCUGGAUUGUUGUUUCAGAGGGAUUAAACAUGUAGAAUCUGUUGCAAUAUGUAACAAAGCCUCCCUUUUCUCCUCUGCCGUCGAUUAAGAACUCAUGGCUGAACAGACCUCAGCAGUGUGGUUGACCACGUCCCUGCAGCUCCAAUCGGGGACUCUCCACGGUCCCAAUCCCGAGGCCCCCGUUUAAUUGAUGUUCUGUUUUUGCCUUCAUUAGUCUGUAUUAUUCGUGGCAUUAUUCUAAUGUCCGCAGAUGUCAAGUCACGCGGAGAACGCCUGCAGGCCGGCGCGGCGCUUCCACGACACUGCUCGGUUACAAGAGGCGGUGAACACCAGAUCCAGGGAGAGCAGAGCGGCCGCGGCCCCCUUUUGAGAGAAGAGGAACCAUGUUUAUUCUAGUAAAUGACCGUUUCCAUGACAAUUCUUCAAAAUCCCCCGUCUCUCUGCGAAAGGAACAAACAUCGACUAAUGGACACGCUACUCUCUAAUUUCCGGACCAAUCUUAUAAAAGUAUGGACUCCCCGUUAGGAUCCAUUUGAAGGCGCUGAUGCUGACGUCCACUCUCCCCCGCUGACUCCCGUGCUUCGCUGGGGGACGCUCGGUGCGGGUUUUGGAUGUAAAAUGCGAAGCGAGCAUGCAGAGAGUAAGCCAACCGUGAGUGGCGUAAGCUCUCUUCCUCCAAGAUCUCUGUCUCCCUUUAUCUCCCUCUCCCUCUCCCUCCCUCCCUCCCGCUUUCUCCUUCUGUGUUGUGAUGAGCCACCGCAGCGGGAAAAGGACUUUGAUCCACGGGCUCGACAGCAGUGCUGCCAAAUUCCCUCUCCCCACGCAAGAAAGGCACAGAUCCUGCCUUGCAGCACUGGGGCCCACUUAUUUGUAAUCUCAUAGAUUACUGUCCUCGGGCUUAAGUGUAAUGAGCCGCAAACAUCCAAGAAAAACAUGUUAUUUUUUACUCCAACUUUAAGGUUUAGAAAAAAAAUUCGUUGAGCCGGGAUAUGAAAAGAUCUAAUUUUAUUUUACUCACAGCGGGAGAAACAUUAUCAGGCUGCUGAACAUUAUUGUUGCUCUAUUAUUCUCAAUUCAAUUUUUUGGGGCUAUUCUUUCUUUUAUUCUCUUGAGAUAUAUUUAAAUAAUACAGGUUGCGGAGUCGGUCGGAGAACCCAUUUCGGUUUGAAGACCUUGAAUUAUUCAGGCCGCUGGCAUAUAAUCAAAAUGUCUUUUUCGGACGGAGUUGCUGAAUUUAAUUAGAAAAUAUCGAAAUCAAAAACAAUUACGGCAAAUGUUUGCGACAGGACAACAAAGGACGGACCAAGAUGGAGGCAAGCGAGUUUCUAAAGAAUGAAAGUGAGGCGGAUCCAUCUGCAGGAACAAAAUAUGAAAUAGUCCUUAAUGCCGAGAAGAAAAAGGGAGAAAUGCGCUGCAGUCAACGCACGUCACACGUCAUAAAUCUGGAAUUAAAUUCUACUAUAGAAGCCUAAACAGUUUAUUGAUCUAUAGAAUUUACACAGUAGAAAUAACACCGUUCCCAUUAUUUUCUAAGCAAAAACCGUUUGGCCCUGGUGCUCCGCCGCUGCAGCCUGUGCUCAACCUGAGACGAUUGUGAACGGUUUAAAAAAAAUAGGCCAAUAGCAGAAGGGCUACGCGUGGAGCCACGCCUUUCCUCCGCUGAGCGCCGCUACGGAUUUCAGUCUGGCUGAAACACGCCGCUGACCUCCCUCGGUACUUUCUCCCCGACCCCUAAAUCACAAGGACGCGCGUCUCCUUUACUUAUUCGUAUCACAUGAGGGGGAAAAAAAAAGCUCCAGUAGGAUUUUACACUUUUCAUUUUCCCUCAGUCUCCCCACGUGUGCCGAGUAGCGUCCCUCAGGGAAAAUGUCUCCAUAAUAAAAGAUUUCAAAUGAGAAAAAAAACAUCCACGGUACCUUUUCGUGUGCAUGCUCAUGUUCUUAAAGCAUGAUGGACUUAUUCAAUGAAAGGCUUUAUUCCCUGUGCCCCCCCAUCUGCCCCCCCGUAUGCAAAACAACUGCCGACUGUUCACUGAAGUGCAGCCGCAGUCUGCCUCCAUUACCGUUUAAACGUUUAUAUUUUUAUAAACUAUAAUUCGGAUUUCAGUGUCGCGCUGGAACUAAAAAGGAUUCUCUGUUCUCUUGUUUUCUUUUAGGAACAUUAACCAUGUAUUUUUAGGACUUUUAGGCAGAUGUGAAAGGUUACAGCUGCAUGCGGUCGGACGUUAGCACACGGAAAGUCUUCUUUGAUGGAAGGCGGCAAAUAUUGCAUCUCUUCUCCAUAGCAACGCGCUUUGUUGCACAUAGAGGAGAGCUUAUCGUGUUUUGUGCAGACACCUUGCCCACAAAUUCCAAUUUUCAAUUGGCCAAAGUAAUUCUGUCUGGGCCUUUUUCAUUAACGAAGUAAAUAUUUGCCGUCUUUCGAGCGUUUUCCUGCUGGUAAUCUCUCUAAAACAUAAAUGAGUCAAGUCACUCUGGAAGGCAGCGAGCAGGUCUGGUUGAUUGUGAAACUUUCCUCCGUAGACACACAGGGACUAUCAGCUACAUUUCUUCCUGGGCUCUUGUAGUCUCGAUAGGAGAACGUAUUUGCACAUCUGCAUUGGAAACCGUUGGUUCAUCACGGCCUUCUGUUUCACGCUUUGGGAUCCAGACAAAUGGAGCGUAAGCGGUAGUUCCAGAAGGAAGACUCCCGUCAUGCCACACGUGACGUAGAGAUGCUUCAGCUGGUCUCCCAGAAUUAUCCAAUCAGCGGAGAUUGGCUGCGCCAGGUGCAAGCGACAAACAGAGGCGGCGCCGUGGCUCUUAACCAAUCACACAGUUGCUGUCAAACCUUUUUUAAGGGGUUCUCUCUGUGUCGCUGCCGGGGGUCAUUUCAGUGCGAAGCCGGAUGCGACCCUCCUCCACCCAUCAGGCACCUCCAGCGGUUCAGCGGUUCAGCGGUUGGAGGUUCUGUCAAGCAGAACUCGGCAUCACGGCCCGUUGAUUCUCCCGGUUUAGGAUGGAGUCCAAUCGCCAAAGAUUCUGCACAUUUCAAUAUUAUACAUGUGCAAUGUUUGUCACUUCGGAGUCUGUCCUGGUUGAAAUAUAAAAAUAAACAAAUGUAGUCUUUAAAAUGCAGUAAAAAAAGUCAAUGUGGCACGUGUAGUGCUAACUGUGGCGAGGACGGGACUUGGAUCCGGUAGAUCGGGGAACAGCUUUCAGAUUCUUGAUGUUAGCUGAGUGAUGCAGCGGUGCAUCGUUAGCAUUAACUAGCUUUCAAAAUCAUCACGAUUCUUUUUAAUUAUGUGAACGUUAUUAAAUGAACCGGCCCAAAGAAACGUUUUUCUCCAACUUCAGGCAAAGUUCUGGCUUCCGCCUCGCUGGUUUGUUGCUGUGAAAGAAAGUACCGACAAUUAUGAACGAAAAAGGUUCAAAUGAGACCAAUUUUGAUGUGCAAGAUCUUGUGUGACACCUACAGCUCAGUGAUUACAAUUUAACAUUGUGUUGUGUACAACUCGGCAAAUGCAGGAACUCGUCUCAAGGCGAUCGCAUCGCUGUCCAGAUGCAGCAGAGCGGCGCCAUGUGAGCAGACAGAUCUACCAAUCAGCUGCAGAAAGGAGAUAGUGAUGUGAAGUUACUGUCAUUAGUUCAACCCCCCCCCCCCCCCCGUUUGAAAAUAACAACAGAAACGUUUGUUUGCUGGAGUGGAUCAUCAGAUCGCGUCAGCCCACUGCCCUUUCGGUCCCACCGCAUCUGACACGGCGAAUGUUAAUGGCUGAGAUGCCGCGCCGCUCGCGUCAUCGUGUAUUUCAAGGAAUUAUACAAUUUCCCUGUUGGCGAAAAGGAUGAAAUGUUGAAAGGAUGCUGUGAUGCACAGGAUUAAUGAGCCUCCGUGAACCAACGCGUGCGCUGAGUUAUGAUCAACCAGUGUGACGCGUGCAGAAGUGAGUGGCGUUAUUUUGAGUUAUCACACGUAUGCGUUUCUUGUUUCCCUAACUGCGUUUUGAAAUAUCCUGCAGUCGUUUCUAAGAUAUUCUCAUGUUUCCGCUGGUCCGCGGAGCCUGGGGACGCUUUAAACAGCUUUGUGUGAGAUUAUUAGAAACCAAAUUACCAUUUUAUUAAUGAAAAACUGGGCACGGGCAACAUUCUCUUCCACUUCUCUGCACAAAUAAAAGAAUAAACCAUUUCAACAUUUUUAUAUUGAACUCUGAAGUUUUAAUCACAACUGGCCCCAACGGUGUAAGAAUAUACAAAAGCAUCGAGCAACCCGUGGCUGCUCGUGUCAUCCACACUAAGGAGUAAAUCUUUAUCUUCACAAAUGAAAUCAAGCAAUACAGCCGGGACUCGACUAGUUUAUAAAUUAAGAUUUGUUUAAUAUAUUCAGUGAAGAAUCUAGGAGACAAACUCACAAAUUGUAUGAUUUUCUGUUUGAGUGUUAACUUGUGAUGACAUGGUGGAUUCCCAGCAUUGGUGAGAACACCGAUAGUUCCGUUUAGAAACACUGCUUCCAGGCUCGUCGGUGUUAUUUCCACCAGUUAAACCAGCGCGUGUUGUUGUUGUUGUUGUCAUCACGCGUCCCGGAGACCCCGACGCUCCCGGCAUCGUAAAGCUUUACGUGAGUUCCGAGACGUCCUUUGGGACGCCACCUGCUGCUAAAUUAUCCACAAAGGACACAAAAGGUGGGUAAUUUGCUUGUGUCGUGUGUUGGACCCGGAUGAAGAGUACCUGAUUGUUGAUUUAAAAAUACCGACCUUCUACUCAACUCCAGCGACCUUGAUUUUUUUUUUUUUAUGUGACGUUCGCUCCAAUUUAGCCAGCGGUGCUCUUCGCAGGUACCGGCUUUGUUGUCAAGUCAAUCAGGGAAUGAGGAUUUAAACUCGCUGUUCAAUCAACCCAACUUCCCUUUUUUUUAAUUGUGCUCCCGCAGACACACAAUACAAGCCCACCUCCCAUGAACUCAUCAUUUCUCAAACACACAUCAUCGUCUCUGUGUGUUUGACAUGUUCUAUUCUCUAUCAGACACACUCAUUGUGUCUUAGAUAUAUGUGCCCGUCAUCCUACGUGAGCACACUGAUCGUUGAACCAACUCACGUCGCAUAGUUUAGAACUCGCACGCAUCCGUCUCACGCUAAAUAUAUACAUGUCUCGUGCAAAGCGCUGCCCAAUAACGCCUGGAGAAUAUGAUGGUUAAUGUGGGGCUGUGAUGGCGGCGGUGAUUGAGAAUAAUAGUGAUUCCUGGGAAGAAUAGAGGUCUGUGUGUGAAUAAUUAUCAUUUAUAACCGUGACAGUGGUGUGCGUGUGUGUGUGUGUCUGUGUGAGUCGCUGCUGGAAAGUGUGAAUUACGGCCCAAACUACCUUGCUGGGAAUACACUGAUUUUAAUUAGUGUGCGUUUGCAUUUACAGAAGAAAAGGAGCUUAAGAGACCAAGAAGAAAGAAAGUAGUUAUUUUCAUUUCUGACAUCAAAUAGAACUCAUAGAUAUGAAAUACAGUCAUUAAAAAUACAACUGAUAUUAAAAUACAUUUAAUUAUUCUCUUAUUAAACAAAAAAAUGGAUUGGAGUCUUACUGUACGGUGGCACAUGAGUAAAAAGGUCUGAUACUGAAGCAACGUGAACCAUGAGAAGAACGUCUAUCGAGUACUUUAGCACAAAACUAGACGGACACAGAUAUUAACAACAACAACAACAACACACCAGUCCGCUCUCGUUGCUUUGCCCCAUGUGACUGGUGGCUUUGUGCAGCCCGGCCGAUGCAAAGCUGCAGUAGAGAAAGAUCCCUCGUUUUCUUCCUCAGGAAUGAAAGCGAGCUUCUGACCACCAUCAGAACCCCGAGCCUUCUUCAACCUCACGUCGCCCGUGGAAAACAUCACAUCUCCUCUGGACUCUGCAACUUUUCCAGCACCCCCCCCCCCACCCCGGGAUCAGAGAACAAAGUCAAAACUUGCAGAACAAAGUGCAAAUACUCAAGGCCUUCAAAGUUUCCCGUUGGAGCAGAGAGAUGUGAAAAGGUGCCGAGCUGAUCUGUGGUUUUCAUCAGCGGUGAAGCUAAAUUGCUAAAAACACAGGAGACAUCGUGAAAGGUUCUGCAAUGACGACACAAACCUACGCUGGGAAAUGAGUUUUUAACUAAAUCAGAAUGUGAUAAAUGCCCGCGGGAGUCCUUGGAGUGCAUCAUCAAUCCGCUAAAGAAACGGAACCCUUUUGUUCCACAUGGGAGGCGUCUCAUUAUCGCAGCUCUAAAAGUGCUGAAUCCAGGGCGGCCAUCAUAACCUCCACGAGGCAGCUGCCGUUUGUGCAACAUGUGCAGCAGACGAGUCCCGGGCCGCUCGACGUGGUCAAGGCGCGAGGCAUCAGGGGACGAGUGGGACAGGAUUUAUUAGUGGGAAGCACGGUCGGGGUGACCCUUCCAGCGGAGGCACGAAGCCACAGCGAGGACUUGGCAGCGGCCGCCACACUGAUCGACGCCUCUCCGCGGCCGCCGAGAUAAGUCUCUGUCAACUUUCGGUACCUCGUGCCAACACCGGACCAUUACCGUUGUUGUUUCCCCCCCACCCCCACCGCAUUAAAAUGCAAUCAGUGUGACGCGCGGCGGCGAGAUCGACAGCGAUUUUCUUUCAGGCCAUUUACUUGAUGCUGAGCUUCCAAUUACAUCGAAGGUCGAAGUGAUUCCCAUUUGUCCAGAUGACCAAACCUGCCUUUUGAGGCGACCCAGGCAGAGGAGUUCAAGUCCAUCCACGUUUCCCGUCCUCACCAGUCUUUGCGUGGACGCUUCUCUCGCACAGCGGUAAUGACCAACAACCAAGUAUGCCAAUGAAAAAAUGAGUAAUAGAUUUUAGCACUAUUGAUUGCAUUCUAGUACCAUGAGUGUGUCAGAGGGCUGAAGCAUUUGUAAAAGAAAUAACCCUUCGACUGUACUGCAAUAUUAGUCCUUUCCUUGGCUCGGGGUUAAGAGAGCUGUCGGACGGGGGGCCGGGGGGCCGGUAAGAAAGCUGGAAAUCAGUCUGACACGUCUCAAAGUGGCUAACCUCGUCUUCAGCCCCGGGCGGGCGGCGUGGGGGGGACCCGGGUCCGGAGCAGGGACAGCACUUCAUUUUCUUUGGACCAAACCCACUGGAAGCACCUUCCCGCUCGGCACCAAAGCCUCUCCGACUUCCUUCAAAAAGGUUCAAAAGGUCCUGGCGUACAACGUGAGACGCUCGCGGUUUAUUCAGAUUUUAGAACACGAUUGUGUGUGUGUGUGUGUGUGUGUGUGUGUGUGUGUGUGUGUGUGUGUGUGUGUGAGAGAUGGCGACCGCUGCCUCACAGCCACGUGGGGCUUCGGAUGUCGCUUCGAUUUAAGGCUCAUUCUAAAACUACGAGUUCAUAAAAGGUUGGAGUGUGUUUUUAAAUUGAUUCUUUUCCUUCGUUAUUGUCAGACAGAAAACACAUUCAUGUGAUUGAGUGGAUCGCCGGGAAAAGGCUCCAUCUGAUUCAUGACGGAAACGGGAGAUUUAUUGUCUAUUACAUCGACUCUUGUUCUUACUGUGUGUCUCUCAAAUGUGCCUUUUUUUUAUUUUACCCUGAGAAAAGUCAAAUGUUUUAAUGUAAAUUCAUAUUGUCAAGUUUGAGUAAUAUCUUUGCUUGUUUUCCAUCAAUCAAGCCUCAAGUCAAAUAAGGAGUCAUUUCCCCAUCGUUAGCAAACACCAAUAAUGAACAGAGAAAAUGGUAAACAUAUUUAAAUUGCACUUUAAUUCCUAAACGCAGCCUGAGGUGGAUGCACGGCACCCGGUGAGGAGCUGAGACACACCGUAAGAUGCUUUUGCAUCAGAAUGCGUCAUCUAGAAACACACUUUGUGUGCACAAUAGCUCCAGCAGGGCGAUUGGUGGAUGUCCAGUCUCGUGGGUUUGUAAUUGUUGUUGUCUUCUCAUGAAUGCCAAUCACCUGGGGGGGGGGCAUGCGUUUUCAAAAGGCCCCUGGUUCCAGCAGAGAAUGUGGGACGGAGGCCCUCUAAUUGGCGCGUGUGGACGUCUUUAGCGGGUCUCCUCCUGCGACGAGCUGUGAAAAGGAGCCGCGGAAUCGAUUAGAGCUGUGGAUUAUUCUCCUCGGUGGUUCAGACGCAUCGAUUCGCCCGACCAAACAUGCUGGUUUAAGCCCGGUGAGCCCCGAAGGAACUACACUGAAAUGGAGUCAUUGAAAUGUACGUUUAUUUCUAAUUAUCAGGAUGCAGCAUCCGUGCGUCACACAGAUAUUGGUUUCGUUUUGUUUGAAUGACCUUGUGUGAGAAUCUAUGCACGGAGGUUACAGCAUUUGGCCAUUUCUUCAUCAAAAAACCCCCCAAAAAGUUAUCAAUGUCCACAAGCAGAUUGCUGCCCCAUUAUCUCUGGUUGCUGUUAAGACAUCUAAGUGUAGGUGAACACAUAACAGUAUCCAUCAGAGAUAUAGCCUCAAUUUGUUGAUCAUUAUUUUGUUGUGGUAUAUAGCCAAUAGAUAAUUGUUGCAUGUCCACGGCAGGAUUCUCCUCACUGGUCCACAAACACCAGAUAGGGACCCAAAAAUGAUUAAAAUGAUUAGGAAUGAAAUUAUUUUUUUUGGCCUGAACAAGAGGAAAGCUGAGCGCUUCGCCAGAGCUUUUAACCAAGAAUCUAUUUUUUUUUUUUUUUAUUGUUCCCGCAGGCAGUUCAAGUGUGUCUGAUGUGCUCAGAGACCGGGACGAUUAUUAAAAGCAAUAACGCGAAGCGCCACCACGAGACAAAGCACAAAUCUUUAGAGCAAACGCGCUCACUCACACAUCAGCAAAGACGUUAAUGUGAUCGGGAUCCCGAUUGAUUCAUUCACUGGACAAAUCUGUGAACAGUGUUAACAGAGAGGAGGGUAUAUAAAGUACAUGCACACGCAAUACAAAUACAAUAGCAUUUUGUACUGACAUUGCUUCACACCGUAAAUAAAUUAAGGUCUCUUUUUAUAUUUCAAAUCCUGUUUUAUAAUUCGUUUUUUUUAAAUAAUGAAUCCAGUUCGUUUGUAAAUUGUUUUUGUAUACAUUAUUCAGCUUCUUUAUUCCAUUUUCCAGUUUUUGACUAAACACCGGCGCUAAAUUCAGUGAGAAAAGAGAAAUGAUUGUGAUGUGGCAAAACGCUGCAUGAACCCACCCGGAUUUCAAACAAAUACCUUUUUUUGUUCUUCAGAAACAGGAUGUUGAAAAAGAGUUUUAGCACAAAAAUACAACAAUGAAAAAGAGUUUUAGCACAAAAAUACAACAAUUAGCACGAUAAUACAACAACCAGCAGCACCUACAUGCCAACUAUCGUCGUCCUGUUUGUGCUUUCUGCUUCUGUUUCGCUGAAAUGAUUUUCUUUUGUCGUCAACCAGUUUUACGUCUCGUUCAUCUUCCCAGUUCGUGGCGCUCGGCCCAAAGACCGUUCGUUGCCACUUAAUACGUCAGAGAGGAUGUUACACUUUCAAGGCUCAGUGACUCCUCGAGCCAGCGGGGCACAGAACUCAAUGAAGGGAGUCCUAAUGAAGGAACACGUCAACCCGUAAAACACUGUGGUUAAUUUAUGGGGGGGGGGGGUUCUAUUUUUGGAAAAACAGUGAAGCUGUGUGACAGAAAGGAACCAACGUUGGUUUUCCAGCUCGGAUGUUCUCACGACACGUGAUCCUUCAUUAAAUGACAGGUUUGGGAUUUUCUCUUUUUAUUGGAAUCGCAAAAAUUACAAUAAAAGAAUACCUGAA
Gasterosteus aculeatus aculeatus (three-spined stickleback) is the source of this 12002-nucleotide long non-coding RNA. Lineage: Eukaryota; Metazoa; Chordata; Actinopteri; Perciformes; Gasterosteidae. The record is from Ensembl.